RNAcentral lists this ribosomal RNA (500 nucleotides) under uncultured bacterium. RNAcentral's name for it is "bacterial SSU rRNA". It matches the Rfam family "Bacterial small subunit ribosomal RNA", at positions 29 to 523 of the family's 1533-position model. The record is from RNAcentral.
AACGAACGCUGGCGGCGCGCCUAAUACAUGCAAGUCGAGCGAGAAGACGUAGCAAUACGUUUGUAAAGCGGCGAACGGGUGAGGAAUACAUGGGUAACCUACCCUCGAGUGGGGAAUAACUAGCCGAAAGGUUAGCUAAUACCGCGUACGCUCCUUGGACCUCGGUUCAGGGAGGAAAGCGAUACCGUGGGUAUCGCGCUCUUGGAUGGGCUCAUGUCCUAUCAGCUUGUUGGUGAGGAACGGCUCACCAAGGCUUCGACGGGUAGCUGGUCUGAGAGGACGAUCAGCCACACUGGCACUGCGACACGGGCCAGACUCCUACGGGAGGCAGCAGUAAGGAAUAUUGCGCAAUGGGCGAAAGCCUGACGCAGCGACGCCGCGUGGGGGAUGAAGGUCUUCGGAUUGUAAACCCCUUUCGGGAGGGAAGAUGGAACGAGCAAUCGUUCGGACGGUACCUCCAGAAGCAGCCACGGCUAACUUCGUGCCAGCAGCCGCGGUAA